UCAGCAUAAUUUUAUUGUCAUGAGUUAGAAUACCGAAUCCGGCUGAAUGUGUCAUAAUCAAGCUUCGUGUUUAAAUGUCAAUAUUAAGUCAAUGUUAAGUAUACUGAAAAGCUACAAAAACAUGCAUUUAAAAGAUUGGACAGUUUGCAAAGGUCACUUAAACGUGUCACGCUAAGGUCGAGUUACGUUUCAAGUUUUAUAAUUGAAAAACCGUCAUAUAAAAGCAGCUCAAUAAACCUCUGACUAAUCAGUGAACUAAAUUCAACAUUGGCAAAACGAGUUCCGUUCCAUAUAAUCGGUGAAAUCAGGAUUUAGACUAUAAAUUCGUAGUCGCGGUCAAUUAGCACUUAGCGUGGUAGUAACAAAAACAAGGGUAUAAGUUUGAACGCACGAAGCUCAUGUGCUUCCACCAAAGCGGAGAUGGAACGUAUGAAAAUCAUCAUAACGAGUGUAGCGGAGUCCGUAAUGGGUCCGUUCCGAUCGCAGUGGAAGGCGGACAACAGGCUUGGCAUAAUGAAUAUAAGUACAUCUUUUUCGAGUAUUCCUUAUAAGUAUGUAUGUACUUUGUAAGAGAUAUUUUCCUUUUAUAUUUACCUGCG
Molecule: long non-coding RNA, 599 nt
Organism: Pieris brassicae (large cabbage white)
Lineage: Eukaryota; Metazoa; Arthropoda; Insecta; Lepidoptera; Pieridae
Exons: 3
Source: RefSeq, a predicted model, not a curated record